Molecule: ribosomal RNA, 497 nt
Filed under: uncultured bacterium
Lineage: Bacteria
Description: partial 16S ribosomal RNA
Rfam family: Bacterial small subunit ribosomal RNA
Source: RNAcentral
GAUGAACGCUGGCGGCGUGCCUAAUACAUGCAAGUCGAGCGAACAGACGAGGAGUUUGCUCCUCUGACGUUAGCGGCGGACGUGUGAGUAACACGUGGAUAACCUACCUAUAAGACUGGGAUAACUUCGGGAAACCGGAGCUAAUACCGGAUAAUAUAUUGAACCGCAUGGUGCAAUAGUGAAAGACGGUUUUGCUGUCACUUCUAGCUGGAUCCGCGCCGCAUUAGCUAGUUGGUAAGGUAACGGCUUACCAAGGCUACGAUGCGUAGCCGACCUGAGAGAGUGGUCGGCCACACUGGAACUGAGACACGGUCCAGACUCCUACGGGAGGGAGCAGUAGGGAAUCUUCCGCAGUGGGCGGGAGCCUGACGGAGCGAGGCCACGUGAGUGAUGAAGGUCUUCGGAUCGUAAAACUCUGUUAUUGGGGAAGAACAGAUGUGUCAGUAACUAUGCACGUCUUGACGGUACCUAAUCAGAAAGCCACGGCUAACUACGUG